AUGUGUGCGCAUCCUCUCUGGCCUAGGGAGCUGCUCUCUGACCUCCAUCAGCACCUGGGUCUUCGAGGUAUUGAGGGGGGCAUAGUUGCAGAAUCUUUCCGAUGGAGAACCCCGUCGAACUCCGCGGUCCGGACUUCUCUGUCUACAUACCCGGGGAGGAGUAUGGACAUGCUUGUGCCUGGAGGAGUUCGAGAAUGUGGCCGAGCUUCUCUCGACCCUUUU
This 222-nucleotide long non-coding RNA is filed under the name Elaeis guineensis (African oil palm). Its description in RNAcentral is "long non-coding RNA (EGUI_LNC047542)". Lineage: Eukaryota; Viridiplantae; Streptophyta; Magnoliopsida; Arecales; Arecaceae. The record is from RNAcentral.